UUUAAAAUUCACAUUGUCUGACGCAAUCUAAUUACUCAAUGGUAUAAUAUAGACCUAACUGUGCAAAUAUCAAUUAUGAUGAUCUUUUUUCUAGGCAUCAGCCUGAAGACCGAGGGAGGUUAGAUAGGACCAGUGCAGGUUGAAGUGGAUUUCGAGGCAACAAGGUAUAACAGCAAGAGAGGUACUCCAUUUACAGUGAUGAUGACAUAUCCCCUGGACCCCCACAACUCCACAAACUUAAAAAUGUUUGAUCAAGUUCCGAAGAUUAAAGAACUACUGCAAAAUUUGGGACUGGAUGAAAAACAUUAAUUCACUUAUAAGCUCAGAGCAGUGGAUGUUAUACAACAUACUUUAAACUAAAUUGUGAAUUUAAGGGAAAACAAGAUCAUGUACUCGUAUAUUACAAGUACAUGCCUUUUGAAAGACAAUAAUAUUGCAUAGAUGUAAAGGAAAUUUCAAUGUUUAUUAUUCUUUCUUAGAUAUAUUAGUAAAAAAUGUGCACAUGAUAGAAUAUAACUUCAAUCAAUGUGUUUGAAUUUUCCUUGUAUUUCAAAAUUUAGUUGAAACAUACAUCAUAGAUACAUUAAUGUAUAUCAAAUUUUUAGAAAAGUUUCAUAAUGGAACUAAUUCACCCCCCCCCCCCCCCCCCCCCCCCCCCCCCCCUUAUACAUACAGUGAACAUAGACCUUCACCUGGGGAAAACUUCAGUUAGUUAAUGCAAUAUACAUGUACAUGCAUUCUCAGUUAUCCAAUAGUGAGUUUUUGGUUCCAUGUGAAACUACAAUUAGAAAUCUUAAACUUAUGAAAGACACACCUAUCUGUGAGGGUAAGAUGACUCAGAUGGACUUACAUGUAGUGAUCCAUGGGCAGUCCAUGGGUCUCUUUCCAUUGAUAUUAAUUAUUUAUUGAAAUAUGAAAUGGUUAUUUAAACAUAUUUGGUGUAUUAUACUGUAUAGUGAUAUAAAUUUCUAUCAAAAAAUAUGUAUAGGUAAUAGAUUUGGUCCAGUUAUUACAAGAAAUUGUAUAAAAAAUAACUAAAUAUUUAGGCAAUCAUUGUGAGUGCGAAAAGGUCAACUGCAAUAGCACACACUAUAUAUCAUUCUUAAAUGGCUCAUAGAAACUUCUAGUAUUGUGAGUUUGAAUGCUCGAUAUGGUAAUUUGGGAAUGCUUAAUCAUUUAAGGUCAAUAGUUUAUCUCUGCUGAUUGUAUCUCUUAAAAUUCAUUUCUAGAAGGGAGGGGGUAGGGUUACAAAAUCUGACAUAGUUUCAGAUUAAACCUCAUUUGGUAUAUUUUUUUCUAUUCAAUAUUUUAGAUACUACUUGACUUAUUGUAAAAAUGAAAUAAAAUCAGAAAUUUUAUGAGCAGAAUUUUGUUGUUGUCAGAAAAUGUAUGCCUGAUAGUAUUUGAGAAACGCCAUAUUUAGGGUAAAUUUGGCCAAUUGCCAAGUCGAAUCAUGCCAAUGUUUUCCUUAGAUGCAUUUUGAAUUUCUAAUCCAUGUUGAUUUUUUAUCUGUUUGUGUUUAAUUUACAUAACUAUAUAUGACAAACAAUAUUUCUGGUGUCAAUAAAAUUUUUAUUGGC
Ostrea edulis (European flat oyster) is the source of this 1580-nucleotide long non-coding RNA. RefSeq lists it as uncharacterized. NCBI's taxonomy places the organism in Eukaryota, Metazoa, Mollusca, Bivalvia, Ostreida, Ostreidae. The record is from RefSeq and is a predicted model, not a curated record. The transcript is spliced from 2 exons.